UCUCUUCUGGCCGGCGGCGCGGCCCUGGGUCUGCUGGGCGCGGCCGGCUGCAGCCGGGUGUCCGGCUCCGGCGCCGAGGACGGGGGC
This 87-nucleotide transfer RNA is filed under the name Streptomyces antimycoticus. RNAcentral describes it as "tRNA-Ser". Lineage: Bacteria; Bacillati; Actinomycetota; Actinomycetes; Kitasatosporales; Streptomycetaceae. The record is from RNAcentral.